AUUGAACGCUGGCGGCGUGGCUAAGGCAUGCAAGUCGAACGGAUCUAUCCAACGGGUAACUGAAGGGUAGAUUAGUGGCGAACGGGUGAGGAAUACAUGGACAACGUACCCUGGACACGGGGAUAGCGGCGGGCCGCAAGGCUCUUUAGCGAAAGUGCCGGUAAUACCCGAUGAUCCCGCAUGGUCGCAUGAUCGUGUGGGCAAAGCUCCGACGGUCUGGGAUCGGUCAUGCCCUAUCAGCUAGUUGGUGAGGUAACGGCUCACCAAGGCGGCGACGGGUACCGGGCGUGAGAGCGUGACCCGGCACAUCGGAACUGAGAUACGGUCCGGACACCUACGGGUGGCUGCAGCAACGAAUA
This 359-nucleotide ribosomal RNA is filed under the name uncultured bacterium. RNAcentral's name for it is "bacterial SSU rRNA". It matches the Rfam family "Bacterial small subunit ribosomal RNA", at positions 30 to 363 of the family's 1533-position model. The record is from RNAcentral.